GAGGGUGUAGCUCAGUGGUAGAGUGCCUGCUUAGCAUGCACGAGGUCCUGGGUUCAAACCCCAUUACCUCCA
RNAcentral lists this transfer RNA (72 nucleotides) under Camelus bactrianus (Bactrian camel). It matches the Rfam family "tRNA". From Rfam's summary of the family: Transfer RNA (tRNA) molecules are approximately 80 nucleotides in length. Lineage: Eukaryota; Metazoa; Chordata; Mammalia; Artiodactyla; Camelidae. RNAcentral also lists the same sequence under 1 other name. The record is from Rfam by way of RNAcentral.